AAGUCAAGAAACACCUGGAUGACCUCCCGGGAGCGGGGGGCCACCAGGUUGCCUAAGGAGGGGUGAACCGGCCCAGGUCGGAAACGGAGCAGGUCAAAACUCCCGUGCUGAUCAGU
This is an unclassified non-coding RNA of Bos taurus (domestic cattle), 116 nucleotides long. It matches the Rfam family "Metazoan signal recognition particle RNA". Rfam says of the family: The signal recognition particle (SRP) is a universally conserved ribonucleoprotein. It is involved in the co-translational targeting of proteins to membranes. The record is from Ensembl. Lineage: Eukaryota; Metazoa; Chordata; Mammalia; Artiodactyla; Bovidae.